AUGAGCUGGUGUUGCCUCCCAAGAGCCAAGAAACAGCAACAGGAGAAGAAUCUCUACUUCCAUAGGCAACAGGAGAAUCUCAACUCUCAAACCAGCAUAAGCGGCAUUUCUGCUGAGAAGAACAUAAGGCUCUUCUCCUAUGCUCAGUUGAAAUUAGCAACCAACAACUUCGACCGCAACAACAAAGUCGGCCGAGGUGGUUUCGGGACAGUAUAUAAGGGAACCCUACCAAACAAGCAAGAUGUCGCGGUCAAAGUUCUCUCUGCCGAAUCCAGGCAGGGCAUCAGAGAAUUCUUGACAGAAAUCGACGUUAUCAGCAACGUGAAGCACCCUAACCUUGUUGAAUUGAUCGGCUGUUGCGUCGAAGAAGAAAAUCGCAUUUUGGUGUAUGAGUACCUGGAGAACAGCAGCCUCGACCGUGCACUCUUGGCUUCUAACAGUGAUCCGGCCAAUUUUACUUGGAGCAUAAGGUCUUCCAUAUGCAUCGGUGUUGCGAGGGGUCUUGCAUACCUGCAUGAAGAGAUCCCAUCACCGAUCGUGCACAGAGAUAUCAAGGCUAGCAAUAUACUCAUCGACAAGAAUUACGUACCCAAGAUCGGGGACUUCGGUCUGGCCAAACUAUUUCCGGAUAAUAUCACCCACAUCAGUACCCGAGUAGCUGGAACGACAGGUUACCUUGCACCUGAAUAUGCAUGGCAUGGUCAAUUGACUAAGAAAGCAGACAUAUACAGCUUCGGGGUCCUCGUAAUCGAGAUCGUCAGCGGCAAGAGUGGCUCGAGGAGCCUGCUGGCUGAUGACAAGUUUCUUCUAGAGAAGACUUGGGAGCUGUAUGAAGCAGGGAACCUCAAGGAACUGGUUGAUCCAGAUCUUGGGGAUUACCCUGAUGAGGAGGCCAUCAGGUUCAUCAAGGUGGCCCUCUUCUGCACCCAGGCGGCGGCGGCGCGCCGCCCUUCGAUGCUACAGGUGGUGAAGAUGUUGUCCAAGCCAAUCCGGAUCAACGAUAGAGAGCUGACAGCGCCGGGGUACAUCAGUGAGUACAAUAGCGGUGUCUCCAAGGCAACGGCCUCCAGCGACUCGAGGUUCAAGAACUCGACCACAGCGGAUGAUUCCGACAUGUUCAGCACCGUCGUGCCCCAGACGGUGACCGACGUCAGCCCUAGGUGA
Molecule: ribosomal RNA, 1164 nt
Filed under: Triticum aestivum (bread wheat)
Lineage: Eukaryota; Viridiplantae; Streptophyta; Magnoliopsida; Poales; Poaceae
Description: partial small subunit ribosomal RNA
Source: RNAcentral